This 362-nucleotide ribosomal RNA is filed under the name uncultured fungus. RNAcentral describes it as "eukaryotic LSU rRNA". It matches the Rfam family "Eukaryotic large subunit ribosomal RNA", at positions 40 to 398 of the family's 3401-position model. Lineage: Eukaryota; Fungi. The record is from RNAcentral.
AUAUCAAUAAGCGGAGGAAAAGAAACCAACAGGGAUUGCCUCAGUAACGGCGAGUGAAGCGGCAACAGCUCAAAUUUGAAAUCUGGCUCUUUCAGGGUCCGAGUUGUAAUUUGUAGAGGAUGUUUCGGGUGUGGCUCCGGUCUAAGUUCCUUGGAACAGGACGUCAUAGAGGGUGAGAAUCCCGUAUGUGACUGGUAGCCUAUGCUCAUGUGAAACUCCUUCGACGAGUCGAGUUGUUUGGGAAUGCAGCUCAAAAUGGGUGGUAAAUUUCAUCUAAAGCUAAAUAUUGGCCAGAGACCGAUAGCGCACAAGUAGAGUGAUCGAAAGAUGAAAAGCACUUUGGAAAGAGAGUUAAACAGUAC